UGGAGAACUGAGAAGAUGAGGCAGCUCGGUAAUGAGCUGCCAUCCACUGAUGAAAGCCCACGAAAGUGAAGGGUCGCCAGGGCAGAGGAUGUCCCUCUGCCACCUUCAGAGGGGCAGUGCCCUGCUGGCCGACAUUGU
Small nucleolar RNA from Echinops telfairi (small Madagascar hedgehog), 138 nucleotides. The record is from Ensembl. Lineage: Eukaryota; Metazoa; Chordata; Mammalia; Afrosoricida; Tenrecidae.